This 500-nucleotide ribosomal RNA is filed under the name uncultured bacterium. RNAcentral's name for it is "partial 16S ribosomal RNA". It matches the Rfam family "Bacterial small subunit ribosomal RNA", at positions 30 to 523 of the family's 1533-position model. The record is from RNAcentral.
AUUGAACGCUGGCGGAAUGCUUUACACAUGCAAGUCGAACGGCAGCACGGACUUCGGUCUGGUGGCGAGUGGCGAACGGGUGAGUAAUACAUCGGAACGUGCCCAGUCGUGGGGGAUAACGUAGCGAAAGCUACGCUAAUCCCGCAUACGAUCUAAGGAUGAAAGCGGGGGAUCGCAAGACCUCGCGCGAUUGGAGCGGCCGAUGGCAGAUUAGGUUGUUGGUAGGGUAAAGGCCUACCAAGCCGACGAUCUGUAGCUGGUCUGAGAGGAUGAUCAGCCACACUGGGACUGAGACACGGCCCAGACUCCUACGGGAGGCAGCAGUGGGGAAUUUUGGACAAUGGGCGCAAGCCUGAUCCAGCCAUUCCGCGUGCAGGAUGAAGGCCUUCGGAUUGUAAACUGCUUUUGUACAGAACGAAAAGGCUCUGGUCAAUACCCGGGGCUCAUGACGGUACUGUAAGAAUAAGCACCGGCUAACUACGUGCCAGCCGCCGCCGUAA